Molecule: unclassified non-coding RNA, 687 nt
Filed under: Hypericum elodes
Lineage: Eukaryota; Viridiplantae; Streptophyta; Magnoliopsida; Malpighiales; Hypericaceae
Description: sequence contains ITS1, 5.8S rRNA gene, ITS2
Rfam family: 5.8S ribosomal RNA (bases 256-411)
Source: RNAcentral
UCGAAACCCUCAAAACGACCCGCGAACCUGUUAUCAACAUGUUGGGGCGUCGGGCCAAACCCCGUGGCCCCAACGCUCCGGUGGCUUCCGGUGGUUCCAAGUUCUUGGCACCAUCGGAUCACCACCAGCAAAACAAACCAACCCCGGCGCGGCACGCGCCAAGGAACUUUGCAACAAAAGAAGGAUCACGCCCCCGACCGUGCCGGAAAUCGGACAACGCGGUCGGGUGGCUGUCCUCCUGUGAUUAACAAAAACGACUCUCGGCAACGGAUAUCUAGGCUCUUGCAUCGAUGAAGAACGUAGCGAAAUGCGAUACUUGGUGUGAAUUGCAGAAUCCCGUGAACCAUCGAGUCUUUGAACGCAAGUUGCGCCCGAAGCCUUCUGGCCAAGGGCACGUCUGCCUGGGUGUCACACAUCGUCGCCCCCAAACCCAGUACCUCUUCGGGGGUACUCGGGACGAGGACGGGCGGAUAAUGGUCUCCCGUGCGCACCCGCUCGCGGUUGGCCCAAAUAGUAGUUCCUGGCGAUCGCAAGCCACGACCAGCGGUGGUUGAAAUACCCUCGACGGGAGUCGUGAGCACCUGCCUCGCAAGUUGGGACAUGCCGACCCUGAACGUGUUUGGUGAUCCGAACACUCACCGAGUGACCCCAGGUCAGGCGGGACUACCCGCUGAGUUUAAGCAUAUC